GCUGGAUGGUCCAAUUUUGUUGGACCCUCUACCAUCUACUAGAGUAAUCCUCAUUGCUCUACUGGUCAUAGAGGGCCUCCCAAACAUCCCCCCGUAUUCAGUGAUUCAUGAAAAACUUUCAGUCCAAUGGUGACUUGGAACUGAAAAACUAAAUGGCGGACUACCUGAAGUGGUAUAGCCCAUCACAGAGCCAAUGUGUGGCGACCUCCUUGAAGGUCUGGCCUCCUCAUCCUGAGGAGUCUCAAAUUGGUAGUAUGACUGCAAAUAAAGAAUAGCAUGUAUUAAUAAAUAGAAUACAAAUA
This 302-nucleotide long non-coding RNA is filed under the name Elaeis guineensis (African oil palm). RNAcentral's name for it is "long non-coding RNA (EGUI_LNC059554)". The record is from RNAcentral. Lineage: Eukaryota; Viridiplantae; Streptophyta; Magnoliopsida; Arecales; Arecaceae.